GGCCGAGUGGCGGAAUGGCAGACGCACCGGACUUAAAAUCCGGUGGGGAGAAAUCCCCGUGCGGGUUCGAGUCCCGCCUCGGCCA
RNAcentral lists this transfer RNA (85 nucleotides) under Planctomycetota bacterium. Its description in RNAcentral is "Planctomycetes bacterium tRNA-Leu". It matches the Rfam family "tRNA". Rfam says of the family: Transfer RNA (tRNA) molecules are approximately 80 nucleotides in length. Their secondary structure includes four short double-helical elements and three loops (D, anti-codon, and T loops). Lineage: Bacteria; Pseudomonadati; Planctomycetota. The record is from RNAcentral.